This 451-nucleotide ribosomal RNA is filed under the name uncultured bacterium. RNAcentral's name for it is "partial 16S ribosomal RNA". It matches the Rfam family "Bacterial small subunit ribosomal RNA", at positions 354 to 796 of the family's 1533-position model. The record is from RNAcentral.
GUGGGGAAUAUUGGACAAUGGGGGGAACCCUGAUCCAGCCAUGCCGCGUGUGUGAAGAAGGCCUUUUGGUUGUAAAGCACUUUAAGUGGGGAGGAGGCUUACCUAGUUAAUACCUGGGCUAAGUGGACGUUACCCACAGAAUAAGCACCGGCUAACUCUGUGCCAGCAGCCGCGGUAAUACAGAGGGUGCGAGCGUUAAUCGGAUUUACUGGGCGUAAAGCGCGCGUAGGUGGUUAAUUAAGUCAAAUGUGAAAUCCCCGAGCUUAACUUGGGAAUUGCAUUCGAUACUGGUUGGCUAGAGUAUGGGAGAGGAUGGUAGAAUUCCAGGUGUAGCGGUGAAAUGCGUAGAGAUCUGGAGGAAUACCGAUGGCGAAGGCAGCCAUCUGGCCUAAUACUGACACUGAGGUGCGAAAGCAUGGGGAGCAAACAGGAUUAGAAACCCGAGUAGUCC